UAGGGAAUCUUCCGCAAUGGACGCAAGUCUGACGGAGCAACGCCGCGUGAGUGAAGAAGGAUUUCGGUUCGUAAAACUCUGUUGUUAGAGAAGAACAGCGCAUAGAGUAACUGUUAUGCGUGUGACGGUAUCUAACCAGAAAGCCACGGCUAACUACGUGCCAGCAGCCGCGGUAAUACGUAGGUGGCAAGCGUUGUCCGGAUUUAUUGGGCGUAAAGCGAGCGCAGGCGGUCAAUUAAGUCUGAUGUGAAAGCCCCCGGCUCAACCGGGGAGGGUCAUUGGAAACUGGUUGACUUGAGUGCAGAAGAGGAGGGUGGAAUUCCAUGUGUAGCGGUGAAAUGCGUAGGUAUAUGGAGGAACACCAGUGGCGAAGGCGACUCUCUGGUCUGUAACUGACGCUGAGGUUCGAAAGCGUGGGUAGCAAACAGG
This 429-nucleotide ribosomal RNA is filed under the name Bacteroidota bacterium. RNAcentral describes it as "Bacteroidetes bacterium partial 16S ribosomal RNA". It matches the Rfam family "Bacterial small subunit ribosomal RNA", at positions 355 to 776 of the family's 1533-position model. The record is from RNAcentral. Lineage: Bacteria; Pseudomonadati; Bacteroidota.